AUCCUCGCCCGGCGCCUCACUCACCAAGGGCCGCGCCGGGGUUCUGCACUGUCACUGCGCUGCGGUUCCCCGCCUUAGGGAUUCUCACACGGUUCCACGGCUCCAGGCCCGGCGGCACCGCAGCCAUCAUGCGAGGCGGGGGGACUUACGAAAGGCGGAGCUACGCGAGAGCACGUCCAGCGACCGGAGGUAACACCUUGUGCAGCCGUAUGUACAUGGCAGCUGGUUGCAAUGUCCUUCCAGGAAUUCAUUCCUUCUGCAAACUAUUCUUAUGACCCUGAAGUUAUCUCCUUCUGCUUGACAAAGAAACAGUACAUCAGCAGUUUAUAAUUACAUUGUGGGAACAAGGAAUACUGGGCAAAAAGCGAGUGGUUAACAUGUACAAGCAAGCAAGGGCCUGUUCAAAAUUUUCAUUAUUUCAUGCACACACACACACACACACACACACAAAAAUGCUGGGGUGCUGAAAUCUCAAGCAGCUGAAAUCUCAAGGUUAUAUAGCUACAAAAUCCCUUCUCAGUGCAAGGUAACAUAUUUACAGAUUAUGGAAAUUAGCAUGUGAACAUCUUUGGGUGGGAGGUGGAGGGAUCUUUAUUCAGCCUACCACAGCCUCUCUCACAGAAUUUACCUCGCUUUAUUGUAUUUCUUUGUUUACUUUCAUGUCUAUUUCUCCAAUGGCAUAUGAACCUACUGAAAGCGAGAACUACCAUUGACAUAGCUAACUGGUCUUUCUAUCUCAAUGCUUAGUUCAGAGCCUGGCAUAUAGUAGGGCCUCAGUAGAUAUUUACUGGCUGUAUAUGAGGUUGGAUGAUGCUUGAAUAGAGUCUUUUGAAGGAUGAAUAGGAACUCCCCAGGCAGUUAAAGGAAAAAGGAUAUUCCUACAGAGAGGUUUUAAGCAGCAUGGGUUUGAAGAAUCACUAGUCCUGAGUUGGUACUGCUGGGACGUGAUUUGUGCUGAGGGGUGGAGCUGGGAAUAGUGGUGUCAGUCAGAUCAUGGGAAGAAUUUGGCUUUUUACCUGAAGACCAGUAGUUCAGAAACCUGGCUGAUUAUCAAAAUUGCCUGGAUAACUUAAAAAUAGAGAUUUUCAGGUCCCACUUGAAAAUUCUUACUCAUUAGUUCUGAGUAGGUCUGUUUUGAAAAGGUCUUUGUGAUGGUACUCUAGGUUGACGUGUCCUUGCUAUAGGUGAUAAAGGAGUCACUCACUGAGUCUUAGGCAGAGCAAUUUUUGUCAGCUUGCCUCAGAAGAAGAGCACCCUGGAGAACAGAUUUGGGAGAGAAGAGGUUGGAAGUAAGGAGACCAGGCCCAUCUGUUCUAUUACAAAAGCUAAGGCCAGAAAUGAUGCAGACCCAAACCUUCAAGCAUUUCUACUGGAUAUAGACAGUAUGACUUAUUUAGAUGUCUAGCAUGGGUGGAGAGUGUCCCUUAUCUGAAAUGCUUGGGACCAAAAUUGUUUCAGAUUUCCGGUUUUUUUUAGAUUUUGGAAUACUUGCAAAUAUACAUGAGAUAUCUUGGGUAUGGGACCCAAGUAUAAACAUGAAAUGUAUGUAUGUUUCAUAUCUACCUUAAACACAUGGCCUGAAGAAACUUUUAUGUAAUAUUUUUAAUAAUUUUGUGCAUGAAACAAAGUUUGUGUACAUCUCAAUCACCCAUGUGGACAGUCUGUGGUUGUUUGGUGUCAACAUCAUUCCUGACUCUGAAUUUAUAUGCUACUGUUUUUUUGUUUGUUUGUUUGUUUGUUUGUUUGUUUUUUGAGAUAGAGUCUCACUCUGUUGCCCAGGCUGGAGUGCAGUGGCACGAUCCCGGCUCACUGCAAGCUCCACCUCACAAGAUCACACUAUUCUCCUGUCUCAGCCUCCCGAGUAGCUGGGACUACAGGUGCCCACCACCAUGUCUGGCUAAUGUUUUUUUGUAUUUUUAGUAGAGACGGGGUUUCACUGUGUUAGCCAGGAUAGUCUCGAUCUGCUGACCUUGUGAUCUGCCCGCCUUGGCCUCCCAAAGUGCUGGGAUUACAGGUGUGAGCCACCGCACCCAGCCUAUAUGCUGCUGUUAAGCAACCAUUUUUUUCUCUUAUUCACACAUAUGUGCUUAAUAGUAAAAAAAAUGAUAUACCAUUAAUACAGUGAAAAUUAAUGUGUUCAGGGUAACUUGUAUCAUCAUGUCAGUACUCAAAAAGUUUGGCAUUUUGGAGCACUUCAGAUUUUGGAUUUUCAGUUUAAAGAUGCUCAACCUAUUUACAUAUUUACAUGUCUAGAAUGAUGAUAUGGUUUGGGUCUGUGUCCCUACCCAAAUCUCAUGUUGAAUUAUAACCCCCAAUGUUGGAGGAGGGGCCUUGUGGGAUGCAAUUGGAUAGUAGGGGCAGAAAUCUCCCUUGCUGUUCUCAUGAUAGUGAGUUCUCAGGACAUCUGGUUGUUUAAAAGUGUGUAGCACCUCCCUCUUUGCUCGCUUGCUCUCCUUCUCUGGCCAUGUAAGAUGUGCCUGCUUCCCCUUCACCUUCCUCCAUGAUUGUAAGUUUCCUGAGGCUUCCCCAGUUGUGCUUCCUGUACAGCCUGCAGAAUUGUGAGUCAAUUAAACUUCUUUUAUUUAUAAAUUA
This 2592-nucleotide long non-coding RNA is filed under the name Homo sapiens (human). Its description in RNAcentral is "NEPRO antisense RNA 1, transcript variant 1 (NEPRO-AS1)". Lineage: Eukaryota; Metazoa; Chordata; Mammalia; Primates; Hominidae. The record is from RNAcentral.